CACGCCGUAAACGAUGAGUGCUAGGUGUUGGGGGUCAAACCUCGGUGCCGCAGCUAACGCAUUAAGCACUCCGCCUGGGGAGUACGUGCUCAAGCAUGAAACUCAAAGGAAUUGACGGGGACCCGCACAAGCAGCGGAGCAUGUGGUUUAAUUCGAAGCAACGCGAAGAACCUUACCAGGGCUUGACAUGCCUCUGACCGAUCUAGAGAUAGAUUUUACCCUUCGGGGACAGGGGACACAGGUGG
This 245-nucleotide ribosomal RNA is filed under the name uncultured Tissierella sp. RNAcentral describes it as "partial 16S ribosomal RNA". It matches the Rfam family "Bacterial small subunit ribosomal RNA", at positions 796 to 1041 of the family's 1533-position model. The record is from RNAcentral. Lineage: Bacteria; Bacillati; Bacillota; Tissierellia; Tissierellales; Tissierellaceae.